This 430-nucleotide ribosomal RNA is filed under the name uncultured bacterium. RNAcentral describes it as "bacterial SSU rRNA". It matches the Rfam family "Bacterial small subunit ribosomal RNA", at positions 354 to 796 of the family's 1533-position model. The record is from RNAcentral.
GUGGGGAAUCUUGCGCAAUGGGCGAAAGCCUGACGCAGCAACGCCGCGUGCGGGAUGAAGGCCUUAGGGUCGUAAACCGCUGUCAAGAGGGACGAAGCGAAAGUGACGGUACCUCUAGAGGAAGCCCCGGCUAACUACGUGCCAGCAGCCGCGGUAAUACGUAGGGGGCGAGCGUUGUCCGGAUUCAUUGGGCGUAAAGCGCGCGUAGGCGGCUUGGCAGGUCGGGUGUGAAAACCGGGGGCUUAACCCGCGGACUGCACUCGAAACCGCCAGGCUUGAGUCCGGUAGAGGGAAGUGGAAUUCCUAGUGUAGCGGUGAAAUGCGCAGAUAUUAGGAAGAACACCAGUGGCGAAGGCGGCUUCCUGGGCCGCGACUGACGCUGAGGCGCGAAAGCUAGGGGAGCGAACAGGAUUAGAUACCCCGGUAGUCC